CCUAAUUCAUACUUUCUUCUCUCCGUUUCAUAAAUAUUUGUUUUCCAGGUAUCACAGAAAGAAUUGAAAGGCAAGGUUGUCAGACAGAUAUGGCAGCUAAGACACCAACUGAGGAAUGUUAUCAAUGUAGCUCCGUGAAAUUGCCAUAUUUUACAUCCUGCAGUUCUGCAGUCAAGUGGUGGUAUUUUUGUCACAGCCCACAUCAAAGCCCAGAUGGCAUGAGGGAGGGAUGGAAAUGGGGCUCCAUAACCCUCAGGAACUCUGAAGAUUUCAUCUCCUAAGUGGAGCCAGAAUCCAGACGCUGGGAAAUGUGAAUGUUCCAAUAUGGCUGACCAUCAUGGAAUGGGAUCAACAGAUGGAAAUAGGAGGCUUCAUCUUCUUCAUCUUGGUCCUGAGGCUCCAUCAGCCAGGUUUCCAGCACACAUUAAACCCAGGGCUAGAGUCUUUAUCAAAAGAAGACAUUUGGACACAGACACAUACACAGAGAGGACACUGUGUGAAGACGAAGACAGAGAUUGGAGUGAUGCAUCUGCCAGCUGGGGAAUACUGAAGUCUGCCAGCAGCCACCAGCAGCCAGGAGAGGGACAGGGUGCAAAUUCUCCUUCACAGCCCUCAGAAGGAACCAACCCUGCUGACACCUUCGUCUUGGACUUUCAACAAUAUGAUUCUGUUGUGGGCUCUGUGAGGAGCAAAGGAAAGCACACCACAAGAGCCAGAGGGAGAGAGCUUGGCAGAACUCUGGAGGGAGCCUUUCCAAGACCUGCUUUUAGUGGAAGCUACAAAACCUCCUGGGAGGAGACUGAAUUCCAUGUUGGUGUUGCACUAUUGCUUUAAAGUGCCACCCUUUCCCUGGGACCAGCAGACAAUUGUACCCAUUAUUUUCUGGUUCUAAGGAAGGAUAAACUUCCUUCUAAGGCUUCAGGGAUGACAGAUGCCUUCUUGG
This 943-nucleotide long non-coding RNA is filed under the name Homo sapiens (human). RNAcentral describes it as "non-protein coding lnc-GRHL2-2:2". The record is from RNAcentral. Lineage: Eukaryota; Metazoa; Chordata; Mammalia; Primates; Hominidae.